RNAcentral lists this ribosomal RNA (959 nucleotides) under Molgula socialis. Its description in RNAcentral is "SSU rRNA". It matches the Rfam family "Eukaryotic small subunit ribosomal RNA", at positions 626 to 1614 of the family's 1831-position model. The record is from RNAcentral. Lineage: Eukaryota; Metazoa; Chordata; Ascidiacea; Stolidobranchia; Molgulidae.
GCUCGUAGUUGGAUCUAGGGCGCUGGUCGGUGGUCCGCCGCAAGGUGUGUACUGUCGGCCGGUCUCUUUUUUCUGGUUUUCCGUCGGUGCUCUUAACUGAGUGUCGGCGGUGGCCAGUGCGUUUACUUUGAAAAAAUUAGAGUGUUUAAAGCAGGCUGUUUGCCUGAAUAUCGGUGCAUGGAAUAAUGGAAUAGGACCUCGAGUCUAUUUUGUUGGUUUUCGGAAGCGAGGUAAUGAUUAAGAGGGACAGACGGGGGCAUCCGUACUCUGCCGUUAGAGGUGAAAUUCUUGGAUCGGCGGAAGACGAACUAUUGCGAAAGCAUUUGCCAAGAAUGUUUUCUUUAAUCAAGAGCGAAAGUCAGAGGUUCGAAGACGAUCAGAUACCGUCCUAGUUCUGACCAUAAACGAUGCCAACUAGCGAUCCGCCGGCGUUACCAUGACGACUCGGCGGGUAGCUCCCGGGAAACCAAAGUCUUUGGGUUCCGGGGGAAGUAUGGUUGCAAAGCUGAAACUUAAAGGAAUUGACGGAAGGGCACCACCAGGAGUGGAGCCUGCGGCUUAAUUUGACUCAACACGGGGAAACUCACCCGGCCCGGACACAGGUAGGAUUGACGGAUUGAGAGCUCUUUCUUGAUUCUGUGGGUGGUGGUGCAUGGCCGUUCUUAGUUGGUGGAGCGAUUUGUCUGGUUAAUUCCGAUAACGAACGAGACUCUAAUGUGCUAAAUAGUUACGCGACCUUAUCGGUCGGCGUUUGGAAACUUCUUAGAUAGACUAGUGGCGCUUAGCCACACGAAAGUGAGCAAUAACAGGUCUGUGAUGCCCUUAGAUGUCCGGGGCUGCACGCGCGCUACAAUGAAUAAGACAGCGUGUCGUUAACCUUGGCCGAAAGGUCUGGGAAACCCCGUAAAUUUAUUCGUGCUUGGGAUAGAGAUCUGGAAUUUCUCUAAACGAGGAAUCGC